CUUUCUCCGCCGGCGACCGGCGCACGGGUGAGUAACACGUAUGCAACCUGCCCCUGUCAGGGGGACAACCCGCCGAAAGGCGGGCUAAACCCGCGUACAUGCCACCGGGGCAUCCCGGAGGCAGGAAAGGCUUCGGCCGGACAGGGAUGGGCAUGCGGCGCAUUAGGCAGUAGGCGGGGUAACGGCCCACCUGACCGACGAUGCGUAGGGGUUCUGAGAGGAAGGUCCCCCACACUGGUACUGAGACACGGACCAGACUCCUACGGAAGGCAGCAG
Molecule: ribosomal RNA, 276 nt
Filed under: uncultured bacterium
Lineage: Bacteria
Description: partial 16S ribosomal RNA
Rfam family: Bacterial small subunit ribosomal RNA
Source: RNAcentral